Long non-coding RNA from Thunnus maccoyii (southern bluefin tuna), 579 nucleotides. RefSeq lists it as uncharacterized. NCBI's taxonomy places the organism in Eukaryota, Metazoa, Chordata, Actinopteri, Scombriformes, Scombridae. The record is from RefSeq and is a predicted model, not a curated record. The transcript has 3 exons.
ACUCUGCCAUUUCAGUGGCUUUUGAGGUUGUGGAGAAACUUUGUGCUACUUAGUGCUACUGUGGAGCUGCUAGAACUGUAGUACAAAUUGUAUUAUAGUAACAUACCAAAUAUUUAUGGAGACUAACCUUCAUGUGCUGAAGAACAUAACAUUAAACAGUGUCAGAUUUUGAAAGUUUAUUGGCAAAGAAACAUGUAAUUCCUCAGCAACACUUAAACCUACGGUGACAGAACGGCCAUACUCAUCAACAGCAGCAAAGACGAGUGGAAGGAUCGACUCUGUCACUGAUGGGAAAAAGAAGAAAGGUUCAGUAGGAAUGAGAUGAGUCGCACCACAGCAGAGCUCAUGUUCUUUGAAGACUCCGGCCGUCACAUCUUUCUGCUUAAGCCCUCUCCUGGCGGCGGGGAGCUUUCUAAUCCAAAACUCUUAACUGCUGUGACCACAAUUGAAACAUGAAAUUACCCUACAGUUAUGGAUCCUGAUGACUCUUUUCAACCAAGUGUAACAGAAGCUGGUGACUUUAGGCUACAGCACACAGUGCAUGAUAUGAGGCUAUUAACUGGAAAUACCAGAAAUAAA